Molecule: ribosomal RNA, 301 nt
Filed under: uncultured bacterium
Lineage: Bacteria
Description: partial 16S ribosomal RNA
Rfam family: Bacterial small subunit ribosomal RNA
Source: RNAcentral
CAGCAGCCGCGGUAAUACGUAGGUGGCAAGCGUUGUCCGGAGUUAUUGGGCGUAAAGGGCUCGCAGGCGGUUUCUUAAGUCUGAUGUGAAAGCCCCCGGCUCAACCGGGGAGGGUCAUUGGAAACUGGGAAACUUGAGUGCAGAAGAGGAGAGUGGAAUUCCACGUGUAGCGGUGAAAUGCGUAGAGAUGUGGAGGAACACCAGUGGCGAAGGCGACUCUCUGGUCUGUAACUGACGCUGAGGAGCGAAAGCGUGGGGAGCGAACAGGAUUAGAUACCCCGGUAGUCCCUGUCUCUUAUAU